RNAcentral lists this ribosomal RNA (538 nucleotides) under uncultured bacterium. Its description in RNAcentral is "partial 16S ribosomal RNA". It matches the Rfam family "Bacterial small subunit ribosomal RNA", at positions 355 to 902 of the family's 1533-position model. The record is from RNAcentral.
UGGGGAAUAUUGCACAAUGGGCGCAAGCCUGAUGCAGCAACGCCGCGUGAGGGAUGACGGCCUUCGGGUUGUAAACCUCUUUUAGCAGGGAAGAAGCGAAAGUGACGGUACCUGCAGAAAAAGCACCGGCUAACUACGUGCCAGCAGCCGCGGUAAUACGUAGGGUGCAAGCGUUGUCCGGAAUUAUUGGGCGUAAAGAGCUCGUAGGCGGUCUGUCGCGUCUGCUGUGAAAUCCCCGAGGCUCAACCUCGGGCCUGCAGUGGGUACGGGCAGACUAGAGUGCGGUAGGGGAGAAUGGAACUCCUGGUGUAGCGGUGGAAUGCGCAGAUAUCAGGAAGAACACCGAUGGCGAAGGCAGUUCUCUGGGCCGUAACUGACGCUGAGGAGCGAAAGCGUGGGGAGCGAACAGGAUUAGAUACCCUGGUAGUCCACGCCGUAAACGUUGGGCGCUAGAUGUGGGGACCAUUCCACGGUUUCCGUGUCGCAGCUAACGCAUUAAGCGCCCCGCCUGGGGAGUACGGCCGCAAGGCUAAAACUU